AUGAAGGGACGGCUGGUGUUUCUGUUGCUGCCGUUGAUCUGGGCGGAGGGGGCCCCCUUGGAGGAAUAUCUAGAACCACCUGUUUUAUACUGUUCGGACCACAGUGAUGACAUCCAGGUAAACUGUGCAUCACCUCCACAGAACUACUCCCACAAUCUACCUGUGUCAUACCAUUGGGAACACACAGGAGAGGUUAUUGAUCAUGGACUGCAGUCUAUUAAACUAUCGAAGAAUGAAGGCCUUCCUGAGAAAAUUACAUGCAUUAUUCACAUAUACAAUGUACAUGCCAGUAGCUCCAUUGCGUUAACUGAAUGUCUUUCAAUAGAAUCUGAUCAAGGGCGAAGUCGACCAGCACUGAUUGGGGUGUUUGGGGUUCUGGUGAUCGUAUUGCUUGUAUUUGGUCUGUGGAAGAAAGAUCGUUUAACACAUUGGCUGAAUACCAGGAAGCAGAAAAGACAAGAAGAUCCAGGCAAUGCUGAUGUUCCACUGAAUGAAAUGCUAACCGAUAAUGGUCCCAGAUGUGUAUCAGAGGAUUUAAAAGAUAACAGGAGCGAAGACACUGGUGACGAUGUUCCACUGAAUGAAACACCUGAUGACUCCAAAUGUGUACUAGAGAAUUCGAAAGAUGACAGGAGGGAAGGCAAUGCUGAUGUUCCACUGAAUGAAAUGCUAACCGAUAAUGGUCCCAGAUGUGUAUCAGAGGAUUUAAAAGAUAACAGGAGCGAAGACACUGGUGACGAUGUUCCACUGAAUGAAACACCUGAUGACUCCAAAUGUGUACUAGAGAAUUCGAAAGAUGACAGGAGGGAAGGCAAUGCUGAAGAUGUUCCACUGAAUGAAACACCUGAUGACUCCAAAUGUGUACUAGAGAAUUCAAAAGAUGACAGGAGGGAAGGAAAUUCUACAACUGCAAAAGCUUAA
This 921-nucleotide long non-coding RNA is filed under the name Anolis carolinensis (green anole). Its description in RNAcentral is "lncRNA (ENSACAG00000034015.2)". Lineage: Eukaryota; Metazoa; Chordata; Lepidosauria; Squamata; Anolidae. The record is from RNAcentral.